AAUCCAUGAUAAGGACAAUCUUGAAUAUAUCCUUUCAAACGCUCCAAUGCUUCUGAAAUGGUUCUGCCUUCUCCUAUUGGAAAUUGGUAAUCUUUCCUCUUAAGGC
Molecule: small nucleolar RNA, 106 nt
Filed under: Sorghum bicolor (sorghum)
Lineage: Eukaryota; Viridiplantae; Streptophyta; Magnoliopsida; Poales; Poaceae
Description: Plant small nucleolar RNA R71
Rfam family: Plant small nucleolar RNA R71
About the family: R71 is a member of the C/D box family of snoRNAs containing the C (UGAUGA) and D (CUGA) box motifs. Multiple nearly identical copies of this snoRNA have been identified in Arabidopsis, and it is thought to function as a 2'-O-ribose methylation guide for 18S ribosomal RNA.
Source: Rfam by way of RNAcentral